GGGUGAUUAGCUCUCAGCUGGGAGAGCACCUCCACUUACAAGGAGGGUCGGCGGUUCGAUCCGUCAUCACCCACCA
This 76-nucleotide transfer RNA is filed under the name Salmonella enterica subsp. enterica. RNAcentral's name for it is "tRNA-OTHER". The record is from RNAcentral. Lineage: Bacteria; Pseudomonadati; Pseudomonadota; Gammaproteobacteria; Enterobacterales; Enterobacteriaceae.